AGCCGUGUGGCGAGCACAAAGCGAACUAUUCUUUCGCCUUUUACUAAAGAAUACCGUGUGCCCGCCACUUAUUGCGGAAUACAUUAAUUUUUGAAGGGGUUAACCUAAACCCCU
Molecule: small nuclear RNA, 114 nt
Organism: Quercus lobata
Lineage: Eukaryota; Viridiplantae; Streptophyta; Magnoliopsida; Fagales; Fagaceae
Product: U5 spliceosomal RNA
Exons: 1
Source: RefSeq, a predicted model, not a curated record